AUAUCUCUCUGUACGGGAAGGAUGAGAAGCUUCGACUAAGGUUCGAUUCGAGCGAAGCGAGAAAGCGUUGCCGCAGGCAACGACCCGAAGGG
Molecule: small RNA, 92 nt
Filed under: Salmonella enterica subsp. enterica serovar Lika
Lineage: Bacteria; Pseudomonadati; Pseudomonadota; Gammaproteobacteria; Enterobacterales; Enterobacteriaceae
Description: partial RtT sRNA
Rfam family: RtT RNA
About the family: This family represents a bacterial cis-regulatory element known as RtT RNA. The exact function of RtT is unknown although it is thought that it may be involved in changing the cellular response in relation to amino acid starvation.
Source: RNAcentral